CCUACGGGGGGCUGCAGUGAGGAAUAUUGGUCAAUGGCCGGAAGGCUGAACCAGCCAUGCCGCGUGAAGGUCAGUGCCCUAUGGGCGUUAAACUUCUUUUGUGCGGGAGCAAUAAUGGUCACGUGUGGCCAGACGAGAGUACCGUACGAAUAAGCAUCGGCUAACUCCGUGCCAGCAGCCGCGGUAAUACGGGGGAUGCAAGCGUUAUCCGGAUUUAUUGGGUUUAAAGGGUGCGUAGGCUGUGAGGUAAGUCAGCGGUGAAAUGCCCCCGCUCAACGGGGUGAAGUGCCAUUGAUACUGCCUGGCUGGAAUGCGGAUGCGGUGGGAGGAAUGUGUGGUGUAGCGGUGAAAUGCAUAGAUAACACACAGAACACCGAUUGCGAAGGCAUCUCACGAAUCCGCGAUUGACGCUGAUGCACGAAAGCGUGGGUAUCAAACAGGAUUAGAGACCCCUGUAGUC
This 460-nucleotide ribosomal RNA is filed under the name uncultured bacterium. Its description in RNAcentral is "partial 16S ribosomal RNA". It matches the Rfam family "Bacterial small subunit ribosomal RNA", at positions 338 to 795 of the family's 1533-position model. The record is from RNAcentral.